Molecule: transfer RNA, 89 nt
Filed under: Coriobacteriales bacterium
Lineage: Bacteria; Bacillati; Actinomycetota; Coriobacteriia; Coriobacteriales
Description: tRNA-Ser
Rfam family: tRNA
About the family: Transfer RNA (tRNA) molecules are approximately 80 nucleotides in length. Their secondary structure includes four short double-helical elements and three loops (D, anti-codon, and T loops).
Source: RNAcentral
GGAGGGCUAGCGAAGUGGUCAUAACGCGGCGGUCUUGAAAACCGUUUGUCCGAAAGGGCACGGGGGUUCGAAUCCCUCGCCCUCCGCCA